CACUGCAAAGCUUUAAGCAAGCGUAGGCCUUUUAAGUCUAAGAUAAUAAAGUAGCAUUUAUUUACAGUGA
Molecule: transfer RNA, 70 nt
Filed under: Diaphanosoma excisum
Lineage: Eukaryota; Metazoa; Arthropoda; Branchiopoda; Diplostraca; Sididae
Description: tRNA-Lys
Source: RNAcentral